CUUUCUCAAAGUUCCUUUUUGAUUCAGGAGUAUGCAAUGGUCCUAACAAUGUCCCUUUCUCAAGAGGAUUACCGAUUUUGACUUGUUUGUAUGAAGUAAGCAGUUGCUCGAGUACUUUGUCAUAGACACUCUCAUGCAAAAGCUUCAAAUACAAGAACAACAUUUAGAGUAUUGAGCAAAAGGAAUAGUAGUAGCAACAAGCUAUAAGGGGAUUAGAUUUUGUUACCAGCCUACGGCAAGUUGUGCAACGUUGACCAGCAGUUCCAACCGCAGCAAAUAGAACAGAUCGAGCCGCUAACUGUAUGUCAGCGUCGUCCAUGACUAUGAUUGCAU
This 333-nucleotide long non-coding RNA is filed under the name Arabidopsis lyrata. RNAcentral describes it as "long non-coding RNA (ALYR_LNC003342)". The record is from RNAcentral. Lineage: Eukaryota; Viridiplantae; Streptophyta; Magnoliopsida; Brassicales; Brassicaceae.